RNAcentral lists this ribosomal RNA (433 nucleotides) under uncultured bacterium. Its description in RNAcentral is "partial 16S ribosomal RNA". It matches the Rfam family "Bacterial small subunit ribosomal RNA", at positions 29 to 507 of the family's 1533-position model. The record is from RNAcentral.
AACGAACGCUGGCGGCAGGCCUAACACAUGCAAGUCGAGCGAUGACUUCGGUCCUAGCGGCGGACGGGUGAGUAACGCGUGGGAACGUGCCCUUUGCUUCGGAAUAGCCCUGGGAAACUGGGAGUAAUACCGGAUGAGCCCUUUGGGGGAAAGAUUUAUCGGCGAAGGAUCGGCCCGCGUUGGAUUAGGUAGUUGGUGGGGUAAUGGCCUACCAAGCCGACGAUCCAUAGCUGGUUUGAGAGGAUGAUCAGCCACACUGGGACUGAGACACGGCCCAGACUCCUACGGGAGGCAGCAGUGGGGAAUCUUAGACAAUGGGGGAAACCCUGAUCUAGCCAUGCCGCGUGAGCGAUGAAGGCCUUAGGGUUGUAAAGCUCUUUCAGCUGGGAAGAUAAUGACGGUACCAGCAGAAGAAGCCCCGGCUAACUCCGUG